UCAAGCAGUUUGACUGCAGUGUUAGAGGACACCCUACACAGAAACACAGGCUUCAGUUUGUCCAGUUUUCACCUCCUUACCAAGCAAAUUUUAGUCAAGUUUAAAGCUUUAUCUGGUAAAUGAUGCAACUGAAAUCAUAUAUUGCCACACACAGUUUGAAACACAACACAUAUGAACCUUUUUCUCUCAAUGUCUGGCUUUAAAUCAGACAAAACAGCCAAGAACAAUCUGGUUUACCUAUGGGUCCAAUUUCUAGUUGUCUGAAGGUGCCAGGAUCAGCUGUGUUAACAGCUUGGAAAUGAAAUCAUACUGGUUAAGAAAGAAACAGGCAUCAUGUAAAAUGAAUAUUUUACGUCUUUGACUUUUUUUAAAAACGUUGAUGAAAAAAUCAGACGGUCAUCAGUCAUUUUGAGAGAUUAUAAUUAAAACACCUGGCCAACUGGUGCAGAAGUGAAGACAUUUUCAGUUUUACGCAUAGAGAUAACCAAAUCAAUCAAAAAGAGAUUCCCAUUAGAGGAUAAUCUCAGACCUGGACACUGUUUGAUGUGUCUCGCUAUCUGGGAACUGACAAUGUGUUGAAAGUUAUGGCGGUCACAAACCGGUGCAGCAUGGAUGUGCUUUUCAAUAAUAUUCUAAUUCAUCGAAUGGGUCUGUGAUCUAACAUCACUAAAUUAGUUACAAAGUAGGUCAAGGACAAAAAAACUAAAACUUUUUUGAGUGACCAUGACAAAUUGUUAGAAAUAUUUUGUAUAUAUAGAUCUUAAUGUUUGCUGUGCUCUUAUGUUCACUGUGUUCACUAGACAAAAUGGCGCCUGUGUAUUCGGCUCACCGUCCGACUCGCUCUCUCUACUUUGUUAUUUUUACUCUUUUUGCUCUAUUUGUAUAUUUAUGCUGUUACGGUUCUAGUGACUUACUUGUGUACGACCGUCAAGCACUUCUGGACAUUAAAACUUUGGUGGCUCUACAAUUUGGACAUGGUCUGGGUCAGAGAAACCGAGGCUUCAAGUUCCUCUCUGACAUCCCUACUGAGUUGCUGAGUUGUCCACAUUUGAUUCCGGAAAGGCGUUUCCGUCGAAGACAUGGUAAACGUGGAGGACUGGCGGUGAGGAUUAAAGGCAUUUCUUCACCGUUGAGGCGGCUCUCCUCGACUUGGAUGGUGUCCUCAUUUCCUGAAUGUAGGACGCCGCUGGAUUCACCCCGUUGUAACCCUGUAAGAGUUGUAACCCUAUUCUUGCUUUUUAAAAUAACUGACAAAUUGAAGAAACUUCUGUAUCUUAUAGAGAUUAUAUGUUUCUAUCUGUUGAUUAUUAUGUAUGUGACGCUAAACUGUUUUAAAUCUGUUAUGUGGGAUUUUUUACUUUAUUUUUUCCUCAUUGGGUUGGGGUGAAAAAUCUGAGUUAAUUGUAUUCAAUUAAAAUAUAGUAUUUGCUUUUGUUUAAAGCAUUUUACUGCAUACUGGUAAAAACUGAUAAAAAAGCUAACUUAUUUUUAUAAUUGACUUUCAUGUGUCAUGUAGAUGGAUUACAUGUGUCAUGCAAACUGGCAUAGAGUGGUGAGAUCUUUCCAGGUUUACGCAGGAAACAGAUCUUAAAGGCCUGAGAGACAUAAGUGAUCUUGCAUUUUGAUUUACUGCUGAUUAAAAAAUAUAUAUUCUUGCAUUUUGAUUACUGAUUGAUCAUAAAAAAUUUAUUCUUGUAUUUUGAUUUAUUAAUGAUUAUAAAAAUAAGGAUUUUUUGUACUUUGAUUUACUGGUGAUUAUACAAAGAGUUGAUGUAAUGAAAAGCAGAUUAAGAAAUUAAUAACAUGAUGAAUGAAUGGUGAAUAGAAUUAAACUCAGAUGAUUAUUAUAAGAAGUUAUGUUUGAAUUAAAAAGAGAAAGUUGAUUAUGUUUAAUGAUUUCUGAUGAUCAUACAGCAUAUAGAAUUGUAACUCAAGUAAUAAUACAUUGUGAAGCAAGGUGACAUGUUUUUCUCAGACUGUGUUGUAACUAGAGCAGAAGUCAGGGCUGAGCUGAGCGGGGAGGCAGGGGAGUUCCAAAGAGGAAGUAAAGUGUUUUCUUCGAAAAUAUAUUGGGGCAGUAAAUCCAGAUGGUCAGUGGACAAGCAACAGAAAAGGAGAAGUGAGCAAGGCAAGAAGAUUUGGUGCUUUCCACAGAGCCAUCGUACGUUCGAGAAGUCACGUAAGCCAUCACCCCAUAGACAACUAUGGGAUGAGAGAGUAAAAAGAAACCCAUGGAAAGAGGAACAAGGUGUUCUUAGUCCGCGGUGCUGAAGUCAAGUCAACAAGAGGAUGCAGACAGAAGAUCAGCAGAGGACCGCACCCUGGAGCCAUGGGGAAGUUGAGACUCCGCACUGCUAGUAGGGACAAGACCCAUUGACCCUCAACCCCGGUUGAGGGUCAGUGGGUCCCUCUGAUUCGACUGCUGCUCUGCGCUCAACCCAAAGAUCUCAGAGCUGCUGCAACAGACUCUGAGAAUGAUCAAAGGUCUUUGUGUGAUGAAGAUCUGAGUAUUCGGAAAACAACAACCAGUUCUGCUUUGCUUCUAUUCAGAAGAGGAUUUUUGCCUUACAAAGACUCUGACCAAGGGACAUUGAAGUUUUCUGUUGCCGAGAUCAUCCAUCAUCUGGAAGGACCUCA
Long non-coding RNA from Xiphophorus hellerii (green swordtail), 2637 nucleotides. RefSeq lists it as uncharacterized. The transcript is spliced from 3 exons. Lineage: Eukaryota; Metazoa; Chordata; Actinopteri; Cyprinodontiformes; Poeciliidae. The record is from RefSeq and is a predicted model, not a curated record.